CGCUGGCGGCGUGCUUCAUACAUGCAAGUCGAACGAGAAUCUGGUGCUUGCACCAGAGGAAAGUGGCGGACGGGUGAGUAAUAUGUAGAGAAUCUGCCCUUUAGCGGGGGACAACAGUUGGAAACGACUGCUAAUACCCCAUAUGAGCGUAACUGAAAUGUUAUUCUUGAAAACUCCGGUGCUAAAGGAUGAGUCUGCAUCUGAUUAGCUAGUUGGCGGUGUAAUGGACCACCAAGGCGACGAUCAGUAGCUGGUUUGAGAGGAUGAUCAGCCACAAUGGGACUGAGACACGGCCCAUACUCCUACGGGAGGCAGCAGUAGGGAAUUUUGCGCAAUGGGCGAAAGCCUGACGCAGCAACGCCGCGUGACCGAAGAAGCCCUUCGGGGUGUAAAGGUCUGUCAGUGGGGACGAAACUUGACGGUACCCACAGAGGAAGCAUCGGCUAACUCCGUGCCAGCAGCCGC
Molecule: ribosomal RNA, 465 nt
Filed under: uncultured bacterium
Lineage: Bacteria
Description: bacterial SSU rRNA
Rfam family: Bacterial small subunit ribosomal RNA
Source: RNAcentral